This 492-nucleotide ribosomal RNA is filed under the name uncultured bacterium. RNAcentral's name for it is "partial 16S ribosomal RNA". It matches the Rfam family "Bacterial small subunit ribosomal RNA", at positions 29 to 507 of the family's 1533-position model. The record is from RNAcentral.
AGUGAACGCUGGCGGUAGGCCUAACACAUGCAAGUCGAACGGCAGCACAGUAAGAGCUUGCUCUUACGGGUGGCGAGUGGCGGACGGGUGAGGAAUACAUCGGAAUCUACUUUUUCGUGGGGGAUAACGUAGGGAAACUUACGCUAAUACCGCAUACGACCUACGGGUGAAAGCAGGGGAUCUUCGGACCUUGCGCGAUUGAAUGAGCCGAUGUCGGAUUAGCUAGUUGGCGGGGUAAAGGCCCACCAAGGCGACGAUCCGUAGCUGGUCUGAGAGGAUGAUCAGCCACACUGGAACUGAGACACGGUCCAGACUCCUACGGGAGGCAGCAGUGGGGAAUAUUGGACAAUGGGCGCAAGCCUGAUCCAGCCAUACCGCGUGGAUGAAGAAGGCCCUCGGGUUGUAAAGCCCUUUUGUUGGGAAAGAAAAGCAGCAGGUUAAUACCCCGCUGUUCUGACGGUACCCAAAGAAUAAGCACCGGCUAACUUCGUG